GGAAAAUAUCCACCGUCCACCUGUUUUUUACACCUUUUUCAAAAAUACACAAUUCCUUCAUUUUUUGGCUGGAAUCCACCUAAAGUUACAUUUUGUUUCACUUUUCCACUUCUGUUUGGAAUCCGUUAAGAAAACUAACGGAAACUUAAAAAAAUGACCAUUUUACCCCCAAAACGAAAAUUAAUGAGAGGAUAAAAGAAAUUGUAAUUUUUAAUUUUUAAUCUAAUUAUUUUUAAGGUGAAAUUGUAAUUUUUAAUUUUUAAUCUAAUCAUAAAAGAAAUUAAAAUUUAAUCUAAUUAUUUUUGGUAAUUUUUAAGGUGAAAUUGUAAUUUUUGUUUUACCCCCAAAACAAAAAUUAAUGAGAGGAUAAAAGAAAUUGUAAUUUUUAAUUUUUAAUUUUUAAUCUAAUUAUUUUUAAGGUGAAAUUGUAAUUUUUAAUUUUUAAUCUAAUCAUAAAAGAAAUUAAAAUUUAAUCUAAUUAUUUUUGGUAAUUUUUAAGGUGAAAUUGUAAUUUUCGUUUUGGGGGUAAAAUGGUCAUUUUUUUAAGUUUCCGUUAGUUUUCUUAACGGAUUCCAAACGGAAGUGGAAAAGUGAAA
This 596-nucleotide long non-coding RNA is filed under the name Citrus maxima (pomelo). RNAcentral's name for it is "long non-coding RNA (CMAX_LNC002421)". The record is from RNAcentral. Lineage: Eukaryota; Viridiplantae; Streptophyta; Magnoliopsida; Sapindales; Rutaceae.